UUUAAUGGAGAGUUUGAUCCUGGCUCAGGACGAACGCUGGCGGCGUGCCUAAUACAUGCAAGUCGAGCGGACCCUUCGGGGUUAGCGGCGGACGGGUGAGUAACACGUAGGUAACCUGCCUGUAAGACUGGGAUAACUACCGGAAACGGUAGCUAAGACCGGAUAAAUGAUUC
RNAcentral lists this ribosomal RNA (173 nucleotides) under Paenibacillus elgii. RNAcentral's name for it is "partial 16S ribosomal RNA". It matches the Rfam family "Bacterial small subunit ribosomal RNA", at positions 1 to 183 of the family's 1533-position model. Lineage: Bacteria; Bacillati; Bacillota; Bacilli; Caryophanales; Paenibacillaceae. The record is from RNAcentral.